Molecule: long non-coding RNA, 86 nt
Organism: Cucurbita moschata (crookneck pumpkin)
Lineage: Eukaryota; Viridiplantae; Streptophyta; Magnoliopsida; Cucurbitales; Cucurbitaceae
Exons: 3
Source: RefSeq, a predicted model, not a curated record
GGGACAACAAGUGGCCAUUGCCAUGGCGGGGGAGAAAGCUCAGUCGAAGAAGAAUAAGAAGAAGAAGAAGACGAAGAAGAAGUACU